GAUGAACGCUAGCUACAGGCUUAACACAUGCAAGUCGGAGGGGCAGCAUGACGAUAGCUUGCUAUUGUCGAUGGCGACCGGCGCACGGGUGAGUAACGCGUAUCCAACCUUCCCCUUAGUAGGGCAUAGCCCGGCGAAAGUCGGAUUAAUACCCUAUGUUGUUCGUCGAGGACAUCUGAAGUGAACCAAAGAUUUAUCGCUAAGGGAUGGGGAUGCGUCCGAUUAGGUUGUUGGCGGGGUAACGGCCCACCAAGCCCCCGAUCGGUAGGGGUUCUGAGAGGAAGGUCCCCCACAUUGGAACUGAGACACGGUCCAAACUCC
Molecule: ribosomal RNA, 321 nt
Filed under: uncultured Prevotella sp.
Lineage: Bacteria; Pseudomonadati; Bacteroidota; Bacteroidia; Bacteroidales; Prevotellaceae
Description: bacterial SSU rRNA
Rfam family: Bacterial small subunit ribosomal RNA
Source: RNAcentral